GAUGAACGCUGGCGGCGUGCUUAACACAUGCAAGUCGAACGAAGCACUUUGAAACAAUCCUCCGGGUGCGUUUCAUUGUGACUUAGUGGCGGACGGGUGAGUAACGCGUGGGUAACCUGCCUCAUGCAGGGGGAUAACAGUUAGAAAUGACUGCUAAUACCGCAUAAGCGCACAGUACCGCAUGGUACAGUGUGAAAAGAUUUAUCAGCAUGAGAUGGACCCGCGUCUGAUUAGCUAGUUGGUGAGGUAACGGCUCACCAAGGCGACGAUCAGUAGCCGACUUGAGAGAGUGAUCGGCCACAUUGGGACUGAGACACGGCCCAA
RNAcentral lists this ribosomal RNA (324 nucleotides) under uncultured bacterium. Its description in RNAcentral is "bacterial SSU rRNA". It matches the Rfam family "Bacterial small subunit ribosomal RNA", at positions 28 to 334 of the family's 1533-position model. The record is from RNAcentral.